UAGAAAAUUCGCUUUUAGCGACCGAUUUAGAGACCGAAUUAUUUUGGUCACUAUAGAGACCGAAUUAGAGACCAAAAUUUUAAGAUUUAAAAUAAAAAAUAUUUCGGUCACUAAAUCGGUCGCUAUUAAAUUUAGAGACCGAUUUAGAGACUGAAAAUUAGCGACCGAAUUAUUUUGGUCACUAAAUUCCGUCGCCUAACCCAAAUCAAUUUUUUAAAAUCAAUUUUUACUUGUCACUUUUCAGUUUCUUAGUGUUAGGUAGAACCUCGCCAGCCAAAUCAAAUUUCGCUUAACCCUGGAAGCCUGAACCUAUUUUCGCCGCACCACCUUACCACCGCACAACCCUUCUUCUCACCAUCGUUUAACCCUUAAUCAAAUUUUCACCUCUUCUCCACCGGAACACCGCUUUUCACACGUCUGUUCUUCUCUUCUCCACCCAAACUGACACAUUCACGUUUCCCAUCGUGGUCACAGAGAUAACGACCUCAACCUUCCGCUGUCUCACACGAUGUCGUUUUCAAAUAUCCGAUCGCUCUUCCUCGUCCUUUGUCUUUGAAUCAGUCAUCUAGUCUUGUUUCCGAUAUCUUACGACUUCGUGUUGCAUAUCAGGUAUUUGAUAUUUUGCUUCUUGCAUUGCAUGGAAAGUGGUUUUGAAAUUUUGUUUAUUUACAUCACCUUUUUUAGGAUAUUUUUGGAAGCAUUAAUUAUAUAGUAUGUGUAUGUGUUUGUGUUUGAGAAACAGAGUUUUGGGGGAACACUUUUGCCUUGGUUGUAUGAGGACUCGUAUGCAUAUUGUGAUUUGUGAGGAACAUGGAUGGGCUUAUGUGGGAAUUUAUGAUGAAUUUAAUUGUCGUGAUGCAACCAAUUAUCUUGUUAAUAAUAUUUUUUAUGCUGUACAUGAUAGCUUAAAGGGUUUCUAUGUAAUCGAAAUCGAAAUAGUAGUAACAAAGCAAAAAGUGAAGAGGGUUUUUGUCACAUAGAUGUGUUAGAAGCUCUUUAUGAGGCAAUGAGGAAAACUGAUGAUGCAUUUUUUAGUAUAAUUAAUGAGAUGGUUAAUCAUAAUCCUGUUUUGGCUAUGAUUGGUUCUUGUGUUUUGGUUAUGUUGAUGAAAGGUGAAGAUGUUUAUUUGAUCAAUGUUGGUGAUAGUCGUGCAAUUUUAGCUACUUGGAUUGGGAAUCAUCCCCAACUCAAUUUGAUUCUCAACAAUAUUGUAGAAUCGUAUCAACUUAGUUCUCUACAUUAGGAGCAUUCAGAUGAUCCUUCUGCAGUAACUAAAGGUAGAGUGAAAGGUUACUUGAAUAUCACAAGGGCUUUUGGAGCAGAAUUCCUUAAGCAGGAUACAAAAUGAUAGGAUUCUUUCUUACCUGGGUGCUUGUGAGUGUUUUUGGCUAUGCUUAUGAAUGCUACAAAGGAGUUGAAAACAAUAAGCCAUUAUUGGUAUGCUUAUAUCGAUUGUUUCUCCAUGCUUAACUUAUACUUGAUAACUUCUAGUAAAUAAUGAAACUUGAUAACUUAGUACCACUGAAACUGAGGUACACCUGUUCCUUCAUUGUUAGUCUGCCUCUAGGAUUUGGUAUGCUAUAACAAGGUGGUUAGGAUUUUUGAACUCUACCACAUGUUUAUAAUCCUAAGGUCAAAGUAUGUGCAAUUUUAUUAAUGAUUGAUUUUCAAUAUUACUCAAUGAUGAUUGAUUUAGCCAUUGUAAUUGGGAUGUUAUAAUUGGCUUUGAGGUAUGAAUCAACCUAAGCCUUCUUUUGUGGCUUUAUGUAUGCAGAAGAGUAAGAAAUUUUCCAAAUUGUAGCAGCAUUUUAUCAAGACUUUCCAUAUGUUUCUUUGAAGAAAAUGUACUGUUAGUUAUUUAUAUAACAUAGAUUGUGUGAAGUUCACUAAUUUAGCUAAUAUGUAUAGGUUGGUGUUGUUUUGUUAGUUUGGGCACUUACAAGCUUUAAAGAAGCAAUCUAUGCAGACCAAAAUCUAGCUUUAUCAAAUUGCAAUAUGUUGAAAUCAGAAAAAUCUAAAAGUGCACUUGACCAUGAUUUUGUCUUUUCCAUUUCAAUUAAGUGAUUAGCUUUUUAUAAUAUUUGUUUGUGCAGGUAUAUAUACCCUUUGAAAUUUGAUACUGAAUAUGUAAUUCAGGUGCUUAUUUGUUCUUAACUUUUUUAGGUGCUUUAGUUAAUCGGUACAAGACACCAAGGUAUGUGGAGUUUCACCUGUGGCUGUUGUUGAGCUCUUGAUUUUAUCAUUUUAUUGCACAUACUCUGAUAGUGAAUUAAUGGAUUAGCAAAUUAAUAUUAUUGUGGUUUUAUAUUGCACUUUUCAAGUUACCAGAGAAUUGGAGUCUGUCAAAGUAUUGUAACUGCUUCAGUUGAAGAUCCUAAUGGUUAUAAGUUUGAAAAGAAUGACUUGCGAACCUUAGGCAAAGUGAUGCUUCAAUUGAAGAUCCUAAAGGUUAUAAGUUUUGAAGACACCAAGAUUUUACAAGUUGAACAAGGAAUGCUCUUUCUUUAAUAUGAUUUGACCCGCUCAAAAUUCUUCUUUUAUGGAAAUGGACACAAGAUAGAGGAAGUGGGAUAUUAUGUGUUGUUAUAUCUCUUACUAUUGUUAUAUCUUAGUAUUUUAGAGGCAUCUUGGGCUGUAUGAUUUAGUUUUUGUAUUGUUAUAUCUUAGUAUUCACUGAUGACCCUUGCAAGCGUAGUAGUGAUAAUUUAUUGGUUAUCUUUUGGAUUGAUUAUGUAUUUUUGGAUAAGUAGUUGGCAAUAUACUUAAAUAUAAAUAUAUAUUAUGUUCAUAUUGUUGUGUGAUGUUUAA
Trifolium pratense (red clover) is the source of this 2808-nucleotide long non-coding RNA. RefSeq lists it as uncharacterized. The transcript has 6 exons. NCBI's taxonomy places the organism in Eukaryota, Viridiplantae, Streptophyta, Magnoliopsida, Fabales, Fabaceae. The record is from RefSeq and is a predicted model, not a curated record.